This 77-nucleotide transfer RNA is filed under the name Amycolatopsis sp. M39. RNAcentral describes it as "tRNA-Phe". Lineage: Bacteria; Bacillati; Actinomycetota; Actinomycetes; Pseudonocardiales; Pseudonocardiaceae. The record is from RNAcentral.
GCUGCCGUAGAGCGGGUUCUUAGUGUCCUGAAAAGGCAUCAGCCGACCACCUCGGUGCGGAGCCCGAGCCGCCGCGC